CUGCUGCCUCCCGUAGGAGUUUGGUCCGUGUCUCAGUACCAAUGUGGGGGGUUAACCUCUCAGUCCCCCUAUGUAUCGUUGUCUUGGUGAGCCGUUACCCCACCAACUAACUAAUACAACGCAUGCCCAUCCAUUACCACCGGAGUUUUCAACCCAAGAAGAUGCCUCCCUGGAUGUUAUGGGGUAUUAGUACCGAUUUCUCAGUGUUACCUCCCCUGUAAGUGGGUAGGUUGCAUACGUCGUUACGCCACCCGUGCGCCGGUCGCCGACGUAGA
RNAcentral lists this ribosomal RNA (275 nucleotides) under uncultured bacterium. Its description in RNAcentral is "partial 16S ribosomal RNA". The record is from RNAcentral.